This is an RNA transcript of Haplochromis burtoni (Burton's mouthbrooder), 1472 nucleotides long. RefSeq lists it as uncharacterized. The transcript has 4 exons. Lineage: Eukaryota; Metazoa; Chordata; Actinopteri; Cichliformes; Cichlidae. The record is from RefSeq and is a predicted model, not a curated record.
AUGAAUACAUGUUCGUACAUGCACAUUCCAGUGCAGAAUGCAAGCUCCAUAAAGGCGUGGCUGAAUGAGUUUGGUGUGGCCUUAAACUCAGCCCCAUCAUACAGCUUUAACAUGAACUAGAAGAGCGAUUGUGAGAAAGAAAUGUAAUGGCUCAUAAGUACUUUAAAUACAUCUUUAAUACCUUUUAACGUUUUUAUUGUAUCGAGUCUGGAAAAGACUCAAUACAAUAACAGAUGAUAACGUGUGACAGAUGAUAACAGCAGAUGCGAUUUGAAAUCCAUAUGCUAGACUAAACUAAACUAACUAAACUAAACAUAAGACUAAACCAGACAGUAUUCGUAGUGUCAGAUUUUCUUUCCGUAGAACCCAAAUGAGCGCUCCAGGACCGGAGCAGGUGGAGAAGCGAUACGAUCCACUAGAUUCUACCCUAAAGUUCGUCAACAGGCCAGAUGAUCUGAAUCCACUGUGUGAUGACUCUCUCAGAGCAGAGAUGUCCUGUGGCCACGCUGUCACUCCUGAAUCUCUACACGAUGGUGUCGUACCUUGCUGGAUCAGGGCAAUUACAAAUUCAGAUGUCCGGCUUUAGUGGAGGGAACCAAGCAGUGUAAUAAAGAGUGGUCGUACCAGGAGGUGCGCAGACUGGCUGAUCUGACUGUGGAGGAAAUGCAGCACUUUGAAGAGAACAUGGCCCGUCUGGCUCUUGCAGACCACUGUGAGGUUCAGGAAUGUCCACAGUGCAAAACAAGUGUGGAGAGGAUGGAUCUGUCUAACCUGUGUGUAAAGUGUGUCGUAUGCACAGCUGUUCAAAAGAAGAAAUUCUACUUCUGCUGGCAGUGUCUGAAACCAUGGAAGGGUUCAGGCCCUCGAUCUGACCGCUGCGACAACGACGGCUGUGAGAACAAGGACCUGCAACUUCUGCAGACAUGUAAAACCAUUGAUCUGCCUGAAGUAAAGGGCGUCACCAGCUGCCCCGCCAUCAGACUCUGUCCUACAUGUGGCCUGAGGGUGGAGCAUAACAGAAAACACUGCAAAAAUAUCAAAUGUCCUCGCUGCAAAAUGGAGUUCUGUUUUGUCUGCCUGAAACUAAAGCGUGAAUGUUCCAGUUCACCAUAUGAAAUCUGCCCCAGUGGGGUCGCGCCAAGGCAGACCUCCAUCCCUGUGUGGAGGAAAACAUGAAAACAAGAAUGAAGUGUAUGUGUAACUCGGGUUCUUUCGUCUUUUGGUUUCUCUGUCUUCCUUUUUCAUUAUUGGGCUCUACUGGGCUAGCUUUGGAUGAGCUUGCUUAAAAAAGAAAGCUCUAAAGGUCAACUUGUCUUUGAAUACAGUUUUUAACCAUCAAUAUUUUUGGUAACCUUUCUUUAGCUGAGACAAAAGAUGGAUUUUCUUGAUACUGUGGGGUCUGCAGAUAUCUGACAUUUUCAUGGUGAUUAAAGUUGCUGUAAGACCAAGAGUCUGACAGACACCAUCUCAAC